AGCUCCAAUAGCGUAUAUUAAAGUUGUUGCGGUUAAAAAGCUCGUAGUUGGAUUUCUGUUGAGGGCAGCCGGUCCGCACUUGGUGCGUGUAUCUGGUUUGACCUCGGCAUCCUCUCAAAAUACGUUGCUGCGCUUGAUUGCGUGGCGCGGAGUUUGAGACUUUUACUUUGAGGAAAUUAGAGUGUUCACGGCAGGCAAUCGCCUUGAAUAUAUUAGCAUGGAAUAAUAAAAUAAGAUCUUUGUUCUAUUUUGUUGGUUUCUAGAGCUUAGAUAAUGAUUAAUAGGGACAAUUGGGGGCAUUCGUAUUAACGCGUCAGAGGUGAAAUUCUUGGAUUGCGUUACGACGAACUACUGCGAAAGCAUUUGCCAAGGAUGUUUUCA
This 381-nucleotide ribosomal RNA is filed under the name uncultured eukaryote. RNAcentral's name for it is "SSU rRNA". It matches the Rfam family "Eukaryotic small subunit ribosomal RNA", at positions 587 to 972 of the family's 1831-position model. The record is from RNAcentral.